AAUCUUCCGCAAUGGGUGCAAACCUGAUGGAGCAAUGCCGCGUGAAUGAAGAAGGUCUNCGGAUCNUNAAGUUCUGUUAUUAGAGNCGAACAAGUUGAGGAGUAACUGUCUCGACUUUGACGGUACCUAACUAGAAAGUUACGGCUAACUACGUGCCAGCAGCCGCGGUAAUACGUAGGUGACAAGCGUUGUCCGGAAUUAUUGUGCGUAAAGGGAGCGCAGGCGGUUGGAAUAGGCAGAUGUGAAAGCCCACGGCUUAACCGUGGAAGGUCAUUGGAAACUGUCAAACUUGAAUGCAGAAGAGGUAAGUGGAAUUCCAUAUGUAGCGGUGAAAUGCGUAGAUAUAUGGAGGAACACCAGUGGCGAAGGCGACUUACUGGUCUGUAAUUGACGCUGAGGCUCGAAAGCGUGGGUAGCGAACA
This 422-nucleotide ribosomal RNA is filed under the name uncultured bacterium. RNAcentral's name for it is "partial 16S ribosomal RNA". It matches the Rfam family "Bacterial small subunit ribosomal RNA", at positions 360 to 774 of the family's 1533-position model. The record is from RNAcentral.